RNAcentral lists this ribosomal RNA (460 nucleotides) under uncultured bacterium. Its description in RNAcentral is "partial 16S ribosomal RNA". It matches the Rfam family "Bacterial small subunit ribosomal RNA", at positions 338 to 795 of the family's 1533-position model. The record is from RNAcentral.
CCUACGGGAGGCAGCAGUGAGGAAUAUUGGUCAAUGGGCGUAAGCCUGAACCAGCCAAGCCGCGUGAGGGAUGAAGGUUCUAUGGAUCGUAAACCUCUUUUAUAAGGGAAUAAAGUCGGGGACGUGUCCUGGGUUGUAUGUACCUUAUGAAUAAGGAUCGGCUAACUCCGUGCCAGCAGCCGCGGUAAUACGGAGGAUCCGAGCGUUAUCCGGAUUUAUUGGGUUUAAAGGGUGCGUAGGCGGCCUGUUAAGUCAGCGGUGAAAGUCUGUGGCUCAACCAUAGAAUUGCCGUUGAAACUGGGAGGCUUGAGUAUGUUAGAGGCAGGCGGAAUGCGUGGUGUAGCGGUGAAAUGCUUAGAUAUCGCGCAGAACCCCGAGUGCGAAGGCAGCCUGCCGGGCCAUCACUGACGCUGAUGCACGAAAGCGUGGGGAUCAAACAGGAUUAGAUACCCUUGUAGUC